ACUGCGCGUGUUGCCACUUGCCACUGAGCUUCGUGUCGACAUCUCAAGCUGCUCGACCCAUGUGUGGGCAUCUCGGUCAUUUCGCGAAGGCCGCGCAUCCUAUAAAUGAGACCCCUUCCUCCUCCCCUGCCGUUGUUGUUGGCUUCGUGGUCCGUGUUUAACGGGCGUAGAGAGAGAAAGAGAACAGAGCGAGAGAGGGGGAGGACGAAGCCCUCCGCGUCGUCUCCUGCUGUUCCAUCCCACAUCUAUUCUGCCUCGGCUUGCACCUUCGACCUCGCUGAAAGUUCUGACCUCAAACUGAAAGGGGCCUGUGAAGCGUUUCCUUGCGGCAGUGCAAUGGAGGUGAACAUCUCUGGUUCUAUUUUCAUCGUCGGGUAACAAGAAACUAAUCAGGGAGUCUCUUCCCAUUUCUUGCAGUGGAGGAAUGUUUAGCUACAGCCGCGCAGCAUGCUUUCCAGAGCAUAAAUUGGUGGAAGAGAAGUUUGAUGCUACCACUUUGCCAGAAGAACCGAGCCAGACACAAUAACAUCAAACUGAGUCUGAGAUACUGCACUUUACAAAUUCUUUCGAUAUUGGCAGAUUGAAGACCAACAAGAUUUGAAGAGCAGCAAGAUCAGCUUGCACCUGCAGUUUGAAGAAAUCCUUUCAAAGAAGACUGCUUGCGGCAAUCUUGCCUUCACUCCACAAGCAUGUGCUGUGUUAUGCGUACCAUGUAAUGAUUGUAGUACUUGACAACUGAUACCAAAGUAGUGGAUGCUUUUCUUUCGCAUGAAGUCAUGUUGAUUUUUGUACGUUCUAACAGCGUCUCCAUCAAUAUCCUAUUGAAUCUCCCAUACUUCUAUACCUAUA
Molecule: long non-coding RNA, 849 nt
Filed under: Zea mays
Lineage: Eukaryota; Viridiplantae; Streptophyta; Magnoliopsida; Poales; Poaceae
Description: drought-responsive long non-coding RNA
Source: RNAcentral